UUUUUCGUAUUUGGUCGGUUCAAUCGUUACGUCAACAGGGGUGCCGCUAUCGCGGUUAUCGCUUCGGCUGUCAUUCUUUUUGCUCCUGGCGUUCUCUGCACGCGUGCGCGCCUUUGACGUCUACUGCGCGCUGCAAGGUUUUCUUUCUGUAUCGGCCAGUGGUUCCAGCAAAAUAAGGAAAACAAAAGAAAGGCCACACGAGGCGUUCUGCGCGACUCUUACGUUGGCCCAAUGCGGGGAGGGACACCAGGGCCAUAUUUUUUUUUUCUUUUCGCGUCCAGGAAAAUGAAAGUCCACAGCCCCAGCACGGACAGCUCCACCUCCCCUGAAUCUGUCUCGUCUGGGUGUGCGGACUGUGCGGUCUUCCAACUGGUCUUGCUUGCUGAUAAUUCUUUCCAUAAGUAAUCGCAAAUAACUGUUGCGACCAGCGAUUUGCUUUUGCAACACUGUUACAUGCAGAGCAAAAGAAAAUGAGUUGCUAUUCAGAAAUUGUAAGACGCUUUUUUAUGCAUUGAUGCGCUUACACAAUGUGCAGUUUGUACGACAGAUACGAGAUGCUCAGCUCUGUAAUAUUGUUUUCUGUAUAGUGUCUCUUGCUGUGCGAAAUUUCCUAAUCAAAAUGCAAAAUAAAGCACAUUUCACUGCUUA
Long non-coding RNA from Dermacentor albipictus, 648 nucleotides. RefSeq lists it as uncharacterized. The record is from RefSeq and is a predicted model, not a curated record. Lineage: Eukaryota; Metazoa; Arthropoda; Arachnida; Ixodida; Ixodidae.